GCCUUCGUGGUGUAGUGGUCAGCGCACUCGACUCGUGACCGAGAGGUCCGUGGGUUCGAUUUCCAGCGAAGGUG
Molecule: transfer RNA, 74 nt
Filed under: Stegodyphus mimosarum
Lineage: Eukaryota; Metazoa; Arthropoda; Arachnida; Araneae; Eresidae
Rfam family: tRNA
About the family: Transfer RNA (tRNA) molecules are approximately 80 nucleotides in length. Their secondary structure includes four short double-helical elements and three loops (D, anti-codon, and T loops).
Source: Rfam by way of RNAcentral